Molecule: ribosomal RNA, 253 nt
Filed under: uncultured bacterium
Lineage: Bacteria
Description: partial 16S ribosomal RNA
Rfam family: Bacterial small subunit ribosomal RNA
Source: RNAcentral
UACGUAGGGCGCAAGCGUCGUCCGGAUUUAUUGGGCGUAAAGAGCUCGUAGGUGGUUCGUUGCGUCUGCCGUGAAAUCCUAUGGCUUAACUGUGGGCGUGCGGUGGAUACGGGCGGACUUGAGGUAGGUAGGGGAGAAUGGAAUUCCCGGUGUAGCGGUGAAAUGCGCAGAUAUCGGGAGGAACACCGGUGGCGAAGGCGGUUCUCUGGGCCUUACCUGACGCUGAGGAGCGAAAGCGUGGGGAGCGAACAGG